Molecule: non-coding RNA, 95 nt
Organism: Mycena rebaudengoi
Lineage: Eukaryota; Fungi; Basidiomycota; Agaricomycetes; Agaricales; Mycenaceae
Source: the annotation of a GenBank genome assembly
GACCCAGUGGUGAAAAUGUUAUCACACCCACCGCCUAGGAAAGUGUUACGUGUGGGUUAAGGUGGGAAUCCCUUGUUCGAAUCAAGGCUGGGUCA